RNAcentral lists this ribosomal RNA (397 nucleotides) under uncultured bacterium. Its description in RNAcentral is "partial 16S ribosomal RNA". It matches the Rfam family "Bacterial small subunit ribosomal RNA", at positions 523 to 918 of the family's 1533-position model. The record is from RNAcentral.
AUACGUAGGGGGCGAGCGUUGUCCGGAAUGAUUGGGCGUAAAGGGCGCGUAGGCGGCCUGUUAAGUCUGGAGUGAAAGUCCUGUUUUCAAGAUGGGAAUUGCUUUGGAUACUGAUGGGCUUGAGUGCAGGAGAGGUUAUCGGAAUUCCCGGUGUAGCGGUGAAAUGCGUAGAGAUCGGGAGGAACACCAGUGGCGAAGGCGGGUAACGGGAAUGCAACUGACGCUGAGGCGCGAAAGUGUGGGGAGCAAACAGGAUUAGAUACCCUGGUAGUCCACACUGUAAACGAUGAAUGCUAGGUGUAGGGGGUAUCGACCCCUUCUGUGCCGCAGUCAACACAAUAAGCAUUCCGCCUGGGGAGUACGGCCGCAAGGUUGAAACUCAAAUGAAUUGACGGGG